UGACUCCUUCAGCAGUGGUUUAAGGAAGUAUCUUAAUUUUUAAAUCACAUGUUGACCAUGCAGCCAAUUGUUGGCCCGUAGAGUGAACAAAACCAUUUAGAUACUGCCGAGAUAAGGGAGGAAUUAAUUCUGUAUAGAAAGUCUAUGGGAAACCAAAGACCACAAGAUUGAGGGCUUGGAGCUGGAGAAAGGGAAAAGAAAAAGCAGACUGUGACUCUCUGGGGAAAGAACUGAAAGAUGACACUAGGAAUUCUCAAAGCGAGAGGAAAAGGAAAGGCCCUUUUUCGGAAAUGACCUCUGAUAAACACACCCUCCAGGGUUACACCUGCCACUGUGUCUUCCACGGACAGACAAGCUGCACUUUAGCAGU
RNAcentral lists this long non-coding RNA (370 nucleotides) under Homo sapiens (human). Its description in RNAcentral is "HSALNT0070018". Lineage: Eukaryota; Metazoa; Chordata; Mammalia; Primates; Hominidae. The record is from RNAcentral.